GAGUUUGAUCAUGGCUCAGGAUGAACGCUGGCGGCGUGCCUAACACAUGCAAGUCGAGCGGAGUUAUUCGAGGAAGUUUUCGGAUGGAAUUGAAUAACUUAGUGGCGGACGGGUGAGUAACGCGUGGGAAACCUGCCCUGUACCGGGGGAUAACACUUAGAAAUAGGUGCUAAUACCGCAUAAGCGCACAGCUUCGCAUGGAGCAGUGUAGAAAAACUCCGGUGUACAGGAUGGUCCCGCGUCU
Molecule: ribosomal RNA, 244 nt
Filed under: uncultured bacterium
Lineage: Bacteria
Description: partial 16S ribosomal RNA
Rfam family: Bacterial small subunit ribosomal RNA
Source: RNAcentral